AGGGGUGGAGUUUAGGACUAGAAGGCCUCGGGGCGGGGAAGAAGACAUCAUCAGAGUAUUUCGAAGGGAGAUCCAGGUUCGUAAGGGACCGGGCUCAAGCUGGCUCUCAGAAGGGAGGGGCCUCGAGCCCGAGGGCGGGGCCUAGAUCUCGGGGUCCACCCUCGCUGUCUCGCCCACUUGCCUUCACCCCCGUUCUUUUCGGUUAAUUUCUGCUACGGCCGUUCCCCACCCUGCCCUGGGCCCAGGGGGCCGCGGUCUGAACUCUGGUCGGCUGGAGGAGUCGGUGAGUGGGGCCCUGGGGUGGAGGCGGAGCCAGGGCGGAGCUUAAGAGAAGGGGUGGAGCCUGAGUGUUGAAACCUGUAAUACACCCGGAGUGGCACAAGAAAUUCAGGAGUAAGGCUUGAGAAUCUGACGCUACCUGGGAUAAGGGCGGGAUCCAAAUAUCGACAGAGUGAGAAGAGAGCAUCAGUGGGUUAGAGGCGAGGAUUGAGAGAUUAGUAUGACCAGAAUACCUGGUAUUUGUUAGGCAGAGGCGGGGCCAUAUCGGAUGUGGGGUGAAGGCGGGAAUGAGGCCCGAUUCCCCGACAAUCGGGGGCGGGACCAGAAAGCGGGGCGUGGCCUGGGGCUCUGGAGCCAGGCCCGUGUGCUGGGAGAGAAACUUGAACUCCUUUUAGGACUUGUAGGCUACUGGGCAUAACCAUCACUAGUGAUGUGGCCGGAGAGACUGACAAGAAGGCAGGCAAGACUAGUUUUGGAGCCUGGCUACUUGGGAUGUCGCCAAAGUGAUCUGAGGAACCAGCCAAGGGUACAGGCAUAGAACCUUAGUACAUUAAGGGGUUGGGACCUAAGUGUCCGAACAGUGGCUGUGUGGGGCCAUGGGGAAGAAAGCGUGAACGUUGAGAGCCAAGGACUAGGGCCUGAGCUGAUCCUGGAGAACAGGGGCGGGGCCCGUCCGGACCGGUAAGACCAAGUACAGCCAGCCGCGUGGGGUCCCCACAGCCCUGGCAGACUGACUGGCUGAAGGUUUUCUGACCACAGUCCCCGACCUCUGUCGGAAAUGGGGAACGUGCAGUCGGAGCCGUCCGCGGGAGGGGGCUCCCGAAAAGAGCAGGCCUCGGACCGCGCCUCCGACUCCCGCCGGACGUCCCUGGUGGAGCCCGAGGUGAUCCUUUCCUCCCCGGCCAUGCGCCUGGCUCGAGGGCUGGGUGUCUGGUUCCCUAGCACCUCCGCGCCACCGGGACUCCUGGUACCUCCGGAGCCCCAGACCUCACCCUCGCCCCUGCCCCUGACCUUAGAACUGCCCUCGCCAGUGACGCCUCCUCCAGAGGAGGCGGCUGCGGCUGCGGUCUCCACACCACCCCCGCCCCCCAUGGGGACCCUGUUGCCCGCGCCGUCUAAGUGGCGAAAACCCACCGGCACUCCGGUGCCCCGGAUCCGAGACCUGCUAGAGGCGAGCCAUCGCGGCCAGGGUGACCCUCCAAGCCUCCGCCCGCUGCCGCCACCGCCCCAGCAACUAACCGAAAAGGACCCGGUCCCGAGGGUCCCACCCCCACCUCAGCCGCCUUUGGAGCCGCGGAAGCCGCCACCACCGCCACCUACCGACUGGCAGCUCUUGAACCGCAGAAUCACUCCUGCUUUGGCCACACCCGCCGCAACCCCCACGGAAAGCCACGUUGGGCACUGCAGCGAGGGCCAGACCGCUGGCGGGGCUCGAGGCGGGGCACCUCCCCAAGCAGGCGAAGGCGAAAUGGCCGGGCCUGCGACUUCCGAGUCCGGCCUGAGCCUGCUAUGUAAAGUCACCUUCAAGUCGGGGCCUCCCUUUCCCCCUGCGGCAGCGUCAGGUUCCUUAGCAGCCAAAGCCCCGCUAGGGAGCGGCGGAGGCGGAGGCGGAGGCCUCUUCGCUGCCUCCGGUGCCAUCUCUUAUGCCGAGGUCCUGAACCAAGGGCCUCUGGCUCCUGGAGCCGCUCAACCCUUGGCAGAGGUCCCUCGGGGGGCACAGGAAACCGAGGGCGGUGAUGGAGACGGCGAAGGGUGUUCUAGUACCCCUUCGGCGUCCGCGUCCCACGGCCGAGCCCUACCGCCGCCACCCUACACCACCUUCCCAGAUUCAAAGCCUAAAUUCGACUGGGUGAGCCCUACCGAUGGCCCUGAACGCCACUUUCGCUUCAACGGGGCUGCUGGAGGCGUUGGGGCGACCCGACGGCGCGCAGCAGCGCUCUCGGGGCCCUGGGGCUCCCCUCCGUCACCACCAGGGCAAAUGCACUCAGCUCCCGGGCCCCGGAGGCCCGCACCUGCCUUGCUGGCGCCGCCUAUGUUCAUCUUCCCGGCGCCCACCAAUGGCGAGCCCGUGCGCCCCGGGCCUCCAGGCCUGCAGGAUUUACCCCCGCCGCCGCCGCCGCCCGCACCACCACCCACACCACCGCCCGCGCCGCCGCCCACACCGCAGCCGCCCGCGCUCCAGCCAGCGCCGCUGCCGGUGGCGCUUCCGCCCACCCCAGGCCUCAGCCACGUGGAGCCAGCCCUGGCUCCCGCCCCAGCCCCUGCUCUGCCCGCCGCCUUGGCCGCCGACCAGGCCCCAGACCCGGCUCCAACACCAGCCACUGCCGAGCCGUCGCUGCCUGCGCCCCCGCCCGCGCCCCCGCCCGCGCCCGCGCCCAUCAAGGUCCGCACACGUAGAAACAAGGGUUCUCGCACGGCCCGGGGCGCGACCCGCGAAGAUGGCGUGCCAGGAGACGGUCCUCGCGAACGAACUACAGCUACCAUGACUGACAGCGGCGGUAGAGGGAGUGGUGUCAACGGGGCCCCUCUGGCUGGGGCAGCUAACACCAGCGCUGCGCGCCACUGGCCGCCCUUCCAGGUGCUUAACUCUUGUCCCUGCAAGUGUUACUGCCGCCACCAGCCAGGCCAUCGCCGCCUGCCACGCAACGUUUCUGCCUGAGACAUCAGGGAGGGAAGCUGGCCCCAGCUGGCCUGCCCUAUACACUGCCUUGACCCUGUCCCUGAGGACACCAAGAGGGAUCAUGUCCCAAGCUCUCCAGGGAUCAGAGGGAAGGAGAUAAUUAUCUUCCUGGAACCCAAUGGGGGCUGAGAACACCUACCAACCACCUGAGUGAGCCGCCCUGGGUCACCACCAUCA
This is an RNA transcript of Lemur catta (Ring-tailed lemur), 3136 nucleotides long. It is a transcript of the gene named gametogenetin, with no coding region annotated. The transcript has 3 exons. The record is from RefSeq and is a predicted model, not a curated record. Lineage: Eukaryota; Metazoa; Chordata; Mammalia; Primates; Lemuridae.